GUGUUUGUUUGGGCUCACUAAGUUUCAUUGGACUGGACUACACUAAUUAUUAGUGUAGUCCCAUGUUUGGUAGGCAGAGGGACUAAGUUUAAUGAGAUUAGCCCUCACUCGCUCCGACUAUUUCCUUCGCUCGGAGUUCUUAGCGAGGACGCCCAAAUACCACGGGAUUGCUAAGCCCGUCUUCGAGAGAGAAUCGUCGUUCGUCCUCGUCUGCUCGCUCAUCUUCCUGCACUGGCAUCCUCGUACUGCUCGCCCUUAUCUCCUGCUCGUCAUCAUCUACUCUUGGUCUGGUAAAUUUCAAAUCUGACGAUUUAUUUCUUCGAUUCUGUUCUAGAUCGUUAAAUUAUUACUGGGUUUUCAUCGAUUCAUUGUUUUGGGUUUGAAAAUUCUGAAAAUUUGGAAUUUUUACAUCAAAGAUUGUCAGUUUUGUAGAUAAUAUUAGUUUUCUUGAAUUUUGUGGUUUUGGGUGUUUUUGAUUUGGGUUGAAUUUCAUAAAUUAGUAGUAGCUAAGUGGUCCGAGGCUGGUGGGUUAUUAGCAUCGUUCAAAUUGUUUGUCUGUGUAAUUUGCAAUGACUCUGCAAUACUUUGCAAUGGCAGUAGCCUGGUGCACGGGGCUGCACAUUUGUUCAUAUUAAUAUCAAUAAUUAGGUGUUAUAUGAGGAAAGUAAAAUGAUAAUUAUGGUGCAAAUUUUGAUUAGACAAUUAGUAUUAAGGACAAAGAAUUGUGUGCCUCAACAUGUGGUGCUCUUGUCUAUUCCUAUCACGUCCACAAUUUGAUGUAUAUGCAAGGCUUUUGAUUAGAAAACUAGUAUUACAGACAAAGAAUUGAGAUGCAGAUGCAGAGCUUUGGAGUUUGGGUGUUGUUUUUGGUAAAUUAUUAAUAAAUAAAAUUUGAAAACUUGGAGCCAAAUUCAUUAAUUGUUUGUCUAUGUAUCUAUUUUGCAAUGACUCUGCAAUGGCUGCCAUGGCAGUAGCCUGGUGCACUGGGCUCAGUUGUUUGUUUUGGUCUGCUGUACUUUCCCAUUCAUAUCCAUCCGAUUCUAUUUCAAUUGCUUUUUACAAUUGUUCAUUUAAUCUCACUUAUGUAAAUAAAUGCAGAAAUUUGUUGUUGUUUGAUUCCUUGUGCUGAAAUACUUCAGUUUUAUUUGCAGUUCUUGGUUUUCUUGAUUCCUGUGUGUGUGUAUUGUGUGUGUGUGUGUGUGUUUGUGUAUUGUGGCCGUGUGUGUGUGUGUGUGUGUUUGUGUAGUAUGUGUGUGUAUUGUGUGUAAGUUUGAACCAACUUAAGUUGUACAAUUUGAUUAUGUAUGCAGUGUAUGUAUGUAUGCAGGGUGUGUGUGAGUGUAUGUCAGUGUGUGAGAGUGUGUAUGUCCGUGUGAGUGCAGUGUGUGCAUCUGACCAGUGUGUGUGUGUGUGUAUGUAUGCAGUGUGUGUAUGUAUGCAGUGUGUGUGUGUGUGUGUGUGUGUAUGUAUGUAUGCAGUGUGUGUGUGUGUGUGUGUGUGUAUGUAUGUAUGCAGUGUGUGUGUGUGUAUGUACAUGUGUGUGUGCGUGUGUAUGUAGUGUGUGUGGUGUAUGGCAGUGUGUGUGUUGUAUGUAUGUAUGCAGUGUGUGUGUGUGUGUGUAUGUAUGUAUGCAUGUGUGUGUGUGUGUAUGUAUGCAGUGUGGUGUGUGUGUGUGUGUGUGUAUGCAGUGUGUGUGUGUGUGUAUGUAUGCAGUGUGUGUGUGUGUGUGUGUGUGUGUGUGUGUGUGUGUGUGUGUGUGUGUGUGUGUGUGUGUGUGUGUGUGUGUGUGUGUGUGUGUGUGUGUGUGUGUAUGUAUGCAGUGUGUGUGUGUGUACUUGGUUUAUAACCAUGAUAUUACAAUGUGAAUGUUUUGUAUUGUGUGGGGUUGAUGCUGAAUUGCAAUUUUUUGUGGUUGUUGGUUGCAGAGAAGAGGAGCAUAAACGGAAGGCUAAGGCUAAGAAAGUGUUCGUCCAAAGGCUUUUAAGCGACAACGCAAGCGGAUGAGGAUUUUGGCUAAUGUUAACAUGGAUGUAUUUUAUUAAUGUUAACAUAGAUGUAUUUUUAUUAAUCAUACAAUCUUAUAUGUUAUGGCUUAUAACUUAGCUUUGCACUAGUAUUUUGGCUUAUGUUAACUAGCCAUUUUGUAAAUUAUGGAGAUCUAUUUUGGCUAAUGUUAACUAAUGUUAACUAGGAUUUUCUAAAUUAUGGAGAUCUUCAUUAUGUACUUGUAUUUGUUGAAGUUGCAUGUAUUGGGCACUAUUAUUUUUCUUCUGUUGGGUGAUAGAGUUUAAACCAAGCUACAUUUGCAAAUUAAACCCAAUUCUAUUAGCAGGUAAUAGAAACAAAACAAUUGUCAAUUUUUUUUAAGAUUCAUAAUAUACAUGGCAAAAAUAUGCUCCAAUUAACCCAUAUCAUGAGAUUUGUAGCAUUACUCUAUUACACAAUGACAAAAAUUUGUAGUCCUAGUCUAAGCAAACACAAAUCUGGUGAACAAUACUGUUUUUCUUAUCCUGCUUCUUAGUCCGACAUUACACCAAACGCUUCACUAAAUUAGUCCAGCUUAGUCCAGUCUAAGCCAGUCCAGC
RNAcentral lists this long non-coding RNA (2585 nucleotides) under Malus domestica (apple). RNAcentral describes it as "long non-coding RNA (MDOM_LNC009785)". The record is from RNAcentral. Lineage: Eukaryota; Viridiplantae; Streptophyta; Magnoliopsida; Rosales; Rosaceae.